This 488-nucleotide ribosomal RNA is filed under the name uncultured bacterium. RNAcentral's name for it is "partial 16S ribosomal RNA". It matches the Rfam family "Bacterial small subunit ribosomal RNA", at positions 28 to 507 of the family's 1533-position model. The record is from RNAcentral.
GAUGAACGCUGGCGGCGGGCUUAACACAUGCAAGUCGAACGGAAGGACGGUGCUUUUGUCGGGUGUUCGAGUGGCGAAGGGGUGAGUAGCCCGUGAAUAUGCCUCCCUUGAGGUGGGGAUAACUUGAGAAAGCCGGGGAUAACCCCGAAUAGCUGCUGGUGCUGCUUGGUGGGGGUUGGAACGUACCGUCGGAUGGGGAUCGACGUCGGGUGGAUCAGCUAGUUGGGGGGGUAACGGCCUACCCAGGCGUUGAUCGGUAGCCGGACUGAGAGGAUGAUCAGUCACACUGGAACUGGGACACGGUCCAGACUCCUACGGGAGGCAGCAGUGGGGAAUAUUAGACAAUGGGCGAAAGCCUGAUCCAGCCAUGCCGCGUGUGUGAAGAAGGUCUUCGGAUUGUAAAGCACUUUAAGUUGGGAGGAAGGGCAGUAAGUUAAUACCUUGCUGUUUUGACGUUACCAACAGAAUAAGCACCGGCUAACUUCGUG